AUUGAACGCUGGCGGCAUGCCUUACACAUGCAAGUCGAACGGUAACAGGUCUUCGGAUGCUGACGAGUGGCGAACGGGUGAGUAAUACAUCGGAACGUGCCUAGUAGCGGGGGAUAACUACUCGAAAGAGUGGCUAAUACCGCAUGAGAUCUACGGAUGAAAGCAGGGGAUCGCAAGACCUUGUGCUACUAGAGCGGCAGAUGGCAGAUUAGGUAGUUGGUGGGAUAAAAGCUUACCAAGCCGACGAUCUGUAGCUGGUCUGAGAGGACGAUCAGCCACAAUGGGACUGAGACACGGCCCAGACUCCUACGGGAGGCAGCAGUGGCGAAUUUUGGACAAUGGGCGCAAGCCUGAUCCAGCAAUGCCGCGUGCAGGAUGAAGGCCUUCGGGUUGUAAACUGCUUUUGUACGGAACGAAAAGCCCUGGGUUAAUACCCUGGGGUCAUGACGGUACCGUAAGAAUAAGCACCGGCUAACUACGUGCCAGCCGCCGCCGUAA
Molecule: ribosomal RNA, 498 nt
Filed under: uncultured bacterium
Lineage: Bacteria
Description: partial 16S ribosomal RNA
Rfam family: Bacterial small subunit ribosomal RNA
Source: RNAcentral